GACGUGACUUCAGAGUUUGAUCCUGGCUCAGGACGAACGCUGGCGGCUGCCUAAUACAUGCAAGUAGAACGCUGAAGGAGGAGCUUGCUCUUCUGGAUGAGUUGCGAACGGGUGAGUAACGCGUAGGUAACCUGCCUGGUAUGGGGGAUAACUAUUGGAAACGAUAGCUAAUACCGCAUAAUAACAGUUGUUGCAUGACAACUGUUUGAAAGGUGCAAUUGCAUCACUACCAGAUGGACCUGCGUUGUAUUAGCUAGUUGGUGGGGUAACGGCUCACCAAGGCGACGAUACAUAGCCGACCUGAGAGGGUGAUCGGCCACACUGGGACUGAGACACGGCCCAG
This 343-nucleotide ribosomal RNA is filed under the name uncultured bacterium. Its description in RNAcentral is "bacterial SSU rRNA". It matches the Rfam family "Bacterial small subunit ribosomal RNA", at positions 1 to 334 of the family's 1533-position model. The record is from RNAcentral.